Alexandromys fortis (reed vole) is the source of this 833-nucleotide long non-coding RNA. RefSeq lists it as uncharacterized. The record is from RefSeq and is a predicted model, not a curated record. The transcript is spliced from 3 exons. Lineage: Eukaryota; Metazoa; Chordata; Mammalia; Rodentia; Cricetidae.
GGAGUAAACAGAAGAGAAUGCUGGGAAAAAGAAGCUGAGUCGAGGAGUCGCCAUGAUUCUCCUACUCCAGGCAGACGCAGGUUAAGAUCAUUCCUGGUCACAAGACACAUUCAACAGUGCCAGACAACUUACUCCUCCCAGAAUGGCUUUGACGACUUCCUCACUGCUGGAGACUCCCCAGAGGAGGGUACAGGUCUAGAAGAGACAGAAAAAUACUCAAGACAUGUCAAAUCACAGGCAACAUUCCUAAAGCCCUGUUUCUAAGCUCUCUUCCAGUUUCAAGCCAUACCAGAAAUCACUUUUUAUUUUGGGGAGCGGGGAGAACAGAUGCUGGGGACUGAACCCUGCGCCCAUGUACACUAAGCACACUAUGGUACUGAACUGCUUUCAAUCCUGAAAGAAAUUCUGCUGCUACCUUACUUUGUGAUUUAAGACCUCAUUUACUGCCAGACAUGUACUCAAGGCUUCAAGAAAAUGAGUUAUUUAAAGGACUGAAGGCAGAGCUGAGAAGCCCAACUAUCUCAUGGCAGAAACGUGUAUCUGUGCCAUAAAAAGCAGAAGGCAUCUCAGGAGUGGCUGGUGCCAGCAGGAGCUGACUCACAAAGCAAUCCCACCAACUGGCAGGCUGACUCAAUGGGAACAACUGCAGUAGUAGUCAAUGGAGGUGGGAAGCCACAGAGAACAAGACAAAAAAAAACAACUACAGUGAGGGGGCAGCGACUACGUAACACUUCCUCUCCACCAUAAUCAUUUAGCUUAUGAGUCAAAUGGCCAACAAAAAAAAAACAUAAAAUACCCACAUCAAUAAAUCAAUGAAAAAUAUCAAAUUUAAA